CAAGAGCGAGGGCCCUCGUGGCCCGAACCUCCAACCCCAUGUUGUCCGACUCUGUUGCCUCGGGGGCGACCCGGCCCUCCUGGGCGUCGGGGCCCCCGGUGGUCCAUCUCAACCCUGCAUCUGUGCGUCUGAGUAAAUAUUUGAAUCAAUCA
This 152-nucleotide unclassified non-coding RNA is filed under the name uncultured fungus. RNAcentral's name for it is "sequence contains ITS1, 5.8S rRNA gene". Lineage: Eukaryota; Fungi. RNAcentral also lists the same sequence under 1 other name. The record is from RNAcentral.